This 69-nucleotide transfer RNA is filed under the name Ictidomys tridecemlineatus (thirteen-lined ground squirrel). Its description in RNAcentral is "Spermophilus tridecemlineatus (thirteen-lined ground squirrel) tRNA". It matches the Rfam family "tRNA". From Rfam's summary of the family: Transfer RNA (tRNA) molecules are approximately 80 nucleotides in length. Their secondary structure includes four short double-helical elements and three loops (D, anti-codon, and T loops). Lineage: Eukaryota; Metazoa; Chordata; Mammalia; Rodentia; Sciuridae. The record is from Rfam by way of RNAcentral.
GGGGUUGUGGCUCAGCAGUAGAGUACUUGCCUAGCAUGCAUGAGGCACUGGGUUCGAUCCUCAACACCA